RNAcentral lists this ribosomal RNA (681 nucleotides) under uncultured Hygrophorus. RNAcentral's name for it is "eukaryotic LSU rRNA". The stretch from base 226 to 379 matches the Rfam family "5.8S ribosomal RNA". The record is from RNAcentral. Lineage: Eukaryota; Fungi; Basidiomycota; Agaricomycetes; Agaricales; Hygrophoraceae.
CGUGAAAACGUAGCUAGCUACCGUAGCUGCGCGCGCGUCCCCUAUGCAUCGAUACGACUAGCAUCUUUUGACUUCUGAAGGGGUUGUAGCUGAUCUUUUUUAAAAGAUAUGUGCACACCUCUAUCUACCACCAAUCGUGCACUUUUUUUAGGCUUUAUUGCCUAUGUCUAUCAUAUAAACACUUAAUUUGUGACAAGAAUGUUAUUGAUGAAAUUUAAUAUAUACAACUUUCAACAACGGAUCACGARUGGCUCCCAUCGAUGAAGAACGCACGAAAUGCGAUAAGUAAUGUGAAUUGCAGAAUUCAGUGAAUUAUCGAAUCUUUGAACGCACCUUGCGCUCCUUGGUAUUCCGAGGAGCAUGCCUGCCAUGAGUGUCACCAAAAAUCAACCUCUUCUGCAGCUUGGAUUUGGAGUGUUGCUGGGUCAUUGUUGGCUCCUCAUAAAUGCAUCAACUCUUGUGUAGGCUUUGGUUUGGUAAUAUUUAUGCCAUCGCUGUAAUGCAAAACAAACAACCUUUGAAAUUUGACCUCAAAUUAGGUAGGACUACCCGCUGAACUUAAGCAUAUCCAUAGCGGAGGAUCGGCUGCCUCGCGCGCUAGAAAACCCAUGGCGUUUAGGACGCAAUCGAUCGACAGUACGAUCCCCCCGAUGCCGAUCACAAAUAGCUACGAUCGAUCCA